This 427-nucleotide ribosomal RNA is filed under the name uncultured bacterium. Its description in RNAcentral is "partial 16S ribosomal RNA". It matches the Rfam family "Bacterial small subunit ribosomal RNA", at positions 355 to 774 of the family's 1533-position model. The record is from RNAcentral.
UAGGGAAUCUUCCACAAUGGACGCAAGUCUGAUGGAGCAACGCCGCGUGAGUGAAGAAGGCUUUCGGGUCGUAAAACUCUGUUAUUGAAGAAGAACGUGUGUGACAGUAACUGGUCAUGCAGUGACGGUAUUCAAUCAGAAAGUCACGGCUAACUACGUGCCAGCAGCCGCGGUAAUACGUAGGUGGCAAGCGUUGUCCGGAUUUAUUGGGCGUAAAGCGAGUGCAGGCGGUCUUUUAAGUCUGAUGUGAAAGCCUUCGGCUUAACCGAAGAAGGGCAUCGGAAACUGGGAGACUUGAGUGCAGAAGAGGAGAGUGGAACUCCAUGUGUAGCGGUGAAAUGCGUAGAUAUAUGGAAGAACACCAGUGGCGAAGGCGGCUCUCUGGUCUGUAACUGACGCUGAGGCUCGAAAGCGUGGGUAGCAAAAC